This 271-nucleotide signal recognition particle RNA is filed under the name Paraconexibacter algicola. RNAcentral describes it as "Bacterial large signal recognition particle RNA". It matches the Rfam family "Bacterial large signal recognition particle RNA". From Rfam's summary of the family: The signal recognition particle (SRP) is a universally conserved ribonucleoprotein involved in the co-translational targeting of proteins to membranes. Archaeal SRP consists of a 7S RNA and homologues of the eukaryotic SRP19 and SRP54 proteins. In most bacteria, the SRP consists of a 4.5S RNA and the Ffh protein (a homologue of the eukaryotic SRP54 protein). Lineage: Bacteria; Bacillati; Actinomycetota; Thermoleophilia; Solirubrobacterales; Paraconexibacteraceae. The record is from Rfam by way of RNAcentral.
CCGUGCUAGGCGGGGAGGUAGCGGUGCCCUGUCGCUCGCAAUCCGCUCUAGCGAGGCCGAAUCCCCGGUUGAGGGGUGAGGUCGCGGGGUCGAGCUCGCCGAGUGCGGUGUCGAUGAUCCGGGUCCCGCGCGACGACGGCUCGUGAACCAGGUCAGGUCCGGAAGGAAGCAGCCUUAAGCGAUCACCGGCGGGCGCAGCGGGAGUUCCUGGGUCGGAGCCGUGUCUCGACGGAAGCGCCCGUCGAUCGCCACUUCGAGGUCGGGUGCACGG